CCCUUAGACGUUCUGGGCCGCACGCGCGCUACACUGACCAGUGCAACAAGCAUCCGUCCUUGGCCGACAGGCCUGGGCAAUCUUUGAACAUCGAUCGUGAUCGGGAUAGAUUCUUGUAAUUUUUGAUCUUAAACGAGGAAUUCCUAGUAAACGCAAGUCAUCAGCUUGCAUUGAUUACGUCCCUGCCCUUUGUACACACCGCCCGUCGCACCUACCGAUUGAAUGGUCCGGUGAAAUCUCGGGACGGCGGCUUGGUCGCUUGCGUCCGACUGCUGAAACUUGAUUAAACCAUAUCAUUUAGAGGAAGGUGAAGUCGUAACA
Molecule: ribosomal RNA, 321 nt
Filed under: uncultured eukaryote
Lineage: Eukaryota
Description: partial 18S ribosomal RNA
Rfam family: Eukaryotic small subunit ribosomal RNA
Source: RNAcentral